This 633-nucleotide ribosomal RNA is filed under the name Bacillus sp. (in: firmicutes). Its description in RNAcentral is "bacterial SSU rRNA". It matches the Rfam family "Bacterial small subunit ribosomal RNA", at positions 61 to 677 of the family's 1533-position model. Lineage: Bacteria; Bacillati; Bacillota; Bacilli; Caryophanales; Bacillaceae. The record is from RNAcentral.
GUCGAGCGAACAGAAGGGAGCUUGCUCCCGGAUGUUAGCGGCGGACGGGUGAGUAACACGUGGGUAACCUGCCUGUAAGACUGGGAUAACUCCGGGAAACCGGAGCUAAUACCGGAUAGUUCCUUGAACCGCAUGGUUCAAGGAUGAAAGACGGUUUCGGCUGUCACUUACAGAUGGACCCGCGGCGCAUUAGCUAGUUGGUGGGGUAAUGGCUCACCAAGGCGACGAUGCGUAGCCGACCUGAGAGGGUGAUCGGCCACACUGGGACUGAGACACGGCCCAGACUCCUACGGGAGGCAGCAGUAGGGAAUCUUCCGCAAUGGACGAAAGUCUGACGGAGCAACGCCGCGUGAGUGAUGAAGGUUUUCGGAUCGUAAAGCUCUGUUGUUAGGGAAGAACAAGUGCGAGAGUAACUGCUCGCACCUUGACGGUACCUAACCAGAAAGCCACGGCUAACUACGUGCCAGCAGCCGCGGUAAUACGUAGGUGGCAAGCGUUGUCCGGAAUUAUUGGGCGUAAAGGGCUCGCAGGCGGUUUCUUAAGUCUGAUGUGAAAGCCCCCGGCUCAACCGGGGAGGGUCAUUGGAAACUGGGAAACUUGAGUGCAGAAGAGGAGAGUGGAAUUCCACGUGUA